CAUGGCAUACGUGAUGCAUGUAUCAUGCUCAAAAUUUAUUUAUUUUCUUUGAAAUGUAAUGAGUUAUUCCACUCACCUCUGGCUGAAGCUCUAAUGACUCUGAAGCAGCUAUCUCACUGCUGAGGUCCUCGGUUCCUCGGGUCUGAACCUACACAGGUGGACUCAAAUGAGGGACCAAACAUCCAUGAACAUGACUCUAAAAUACUCCCCAAAAACCCCCUAAAACAUCUUAAAACAAUCA
RNAcentral lists this long non-coding RNA (241 nucleotides) under Manihot esculenta (cassava). RNAcentral's name for it is "long non-coding RNA (MESC_LNC002188)". The record is from RNAcentral. Lineage: Eukaryota; Viridiplantae; Streptophyta; Magnoliopsida; Malpighiales; Euphorbiaceae.